UAAACACUCUGGCCUCUGGUUGGGGCUUCCUCAAGGGCAGAGAGGGAGGCAUCUGGGACCUGUACCCUCCUGUCCCCUUCGCUUCUGCUGCAUGUCUAGGGGCUGCAGGCUUGCCCAUGGCAUCUCCUUUAUUGGUGACAGGCCAACUCUUGUACUUUGUAUAGUCGGCCCUGGCGCUAGCACUAAUCCAGGUACCUUAGAGACAGUGUACCCAUUUUAUAGAUGAAGGGACUGAGGCUUAGAGACGUGAGCUGAUUGACCUGAAGUCACACAGUUGGGUGUCCUGCAGCUGAUUUUCCGCUUCUCAUGUGAGAUAAGGGUUGCGGCCAAACUUACCCAGCCCUGGUUGCCACAUCCAUUGGGGAAAAUCUGCCCAGAAUCUCAGGGCUGCAGGGAGGGCUCUGGGAGAUCCAGAGGCACAGAGGUUGGAGAGGGUCAUCCACUUCUCAUCCACAUCAUUAUUCCUCUUUAGGGGAUCAGGGCACCAAGGGCAAUUGGGCAAACAUAGUGAUCCAGGUAGGGUGGUACCUUCGAGGCAGGGGCAGGAAUUACCUCAUCAGACUAGCUAAAGUCACCAACACACAGCAGGUCUGCCAGGAGGGGACACGUUCGUCCUCGGUGGAGAGAAGGAGGAGAGAAGUUGAGGACAGCACCCUGGGGUAAUGAUGAUGGUGAUGGUCACCAGCAAUGACUGUGUACCUACUGUAUGCCCAGCUCCAGUGUCAGUGCGCAGUGCGCCUGACCACACUUGAUGCUCACCACCAGUCACAGUUAGACACAUGUUGCCCAUUUUGCGGAUGAGGAGAUAAAGCACAGAGGAAAGUCAAGUGUUCCAGGUCACAAAAGGGCAAGCGGCAGAGCUGGGAUUCAAACCCUGCUCUGGCUGAUCUCACAGCUGGAUGUCUGCAAACCCUGCCCAGCACCUGCUGCUUCCCCUGAGUCCUCACCUGCUGUGCGCUCUGGCCCGU
This 968-nucleotide long non-coding RNA is filed under the name Marmota monax (woodchuck). The record is from RNAcentral. Lineage: Eukaryota; Metazoa; Chordata; Mammalia; Rodentia; Sciuridae.